This 378-nucleotide long non-coding RNA is filed under the name Rattus norvegicus (Norway rat). RNAcentral describes it as "long non-coding RNA NONRATT012389". Lineage: Eukaryota; Metazoa; Chordata; Mammalia; Rodentia; Muridae. The record is from RNAcentral.
UGUAGAGUUGAUGCCCCUAGUUCGGUGGCCUGCCCACACUGGGUUUGUGGAAUAGAUCAAGUAGGAUAGCUGAAACCCUGAGCCUCAUUUCUUUUUCCUUCCCUUUCUGUCUUGCUUUCUUCCAGGACCGUCACGACGGCACCAGCAACGGGACGGCACGGUUGCCCCAGCUGGGCACUGUAGGUCAAUCUCCCUACACCAGCGCCCCGCCGCUGUCCCACACCCCUAAUGCCGACUUCCAGCCUCCCUACUUUCCCCCGCCCUACCAGCCUAUCUACCCCCAGUCGCAAGAUCCUUACUCCCACGUCAACGACCCCUACAGCCUGAAUCCCCUGCACGCCCAGCCGCAGCCGCAGCACCCGGGCUGGCCCGGCCAGA